This 243-nucleotide ribosomal RNA is filed under the name uncultured bacterium. Its description in RNAcentral is "partial 16S ribosomal RNA". It matches the Rfam family "Bacterial small subunit ribosomal RNA", at positions 1260 to 1500 of the family's 1533-position model. The record is from RNAcentral.
AAGGCAAGCGGAUCUCUUAAAGCCGUUCUCAGUUCGGACUGUAGGCUGCAACUCGCCUACACGAAGCUGGAAUCGCUAGUAAUCGCGGAUCAGCACGCCGCGGUGAAUACGUUCCCGGGCCUUGUACACACCGCCCGUCACACCAUGAGAGUCUGUAACACCCAAAGCCGGUGGGAUAACCUUUAUAGGAGUCAGCCGUCUAAGGUAGGACAGAUGAUUAGGGUGAAGUCGUAACAAGGUAUC